Molecule: long non-coding RNA, 582 nt
Organism: Fundulus heteroclitus (mummichog)
Lineage: Eukaryota; Metazoa; Chordata; Actinopteri; Cyprinodontiformes; Fundulidae
Exons: 3
Source: RefSeq, a predicted model, not a curated record
GAGCGUCUAUGAUACGGGAUGUGAGAAGUCUCCAGUAUGAAGAGUGAUUUAAGGAGCCUGCCUGGAGAGAAGCUCAGAGAACAGGGAAGAGCAACAGAGAAUGAGUGAGCGAGACAGACAGAGGAGAAAACCUGGGGGAAGGCAAAUAAGAAGAGGGGCGAGUGGUAUUCGGGCCGAGACGGAGAAGCGCAUGCUUCAUUAAGUGAGGAAGUAAUCCUGGCUAAUUAAGGCUCUCCAUGACAGCGCUGUCAAGGAUGACUGAUCCUUCAAAUGGCACCUCCCUUUCCUGACUGACAGUCAGACUGCUCUCACUGCUUUGAAGCCUUUCAGCAUUGUUCCCUAAGGAUGGAUCCUUGCCUAUGUAACUUGAAACAGACAAAGAGAGGUCAGGGCCCUGUUUCUUCCUCCCACCUGUGCAGUUCUCAGGGAAGUCUCCUACAGCCGCAUCUGUUGCCGGCGUGGCUCGUCUGCGGAUUAAUGACCUCGUUAAGAAGGUCGAUGCCCCUGAGCGUCUUGCGCUCACACUUCCUCACUCACGCAUAAACAUGUAAAUACCAAAAAUAAAGAACAUUUCUCACAAAA